Molecule: ribosomal RNA, 253 nt
Filed under: uncultured bacterium
Lineage: Bacteria
Description: partial 16S ribosomal RNA
Rfam family: Bacterial small subunit ribosomal RNA
Source: RNAcentral
UACGUAGGGUGCAAGCGUUAAUCGGAAUUACUGGGCGUAAAGCGUGCGCAGGCGGUCGUGCAAGACAGAUGUGAAAGCCCCGGGCUCAACCUGGGAAUGGCAAUGGAAACUGGCGGGCUAGAGUGUGGCAGAGGGGGGUGGAAUUCCGCGUGUAGCAGUGAAAUGCGUAGAGAUGCGGAGGAACACCGAUGGCGAAGGCAGCCCCCUGGGCUAGCACUGACGCUCAGGCACGAAAGCGUGGGGAGCAAACAGG